AGUGAGGAAUUUUGCGCAAUGGGGGAAACCCUGACGCAGCAACGCCGCGUGAGUGAAGAAGGCCCUUGGGUCGUAAAGCUCUGUCAACUGGGAAGAAGUUGUUAUUGUUUAAUAAAUGAUAGCAUUGACGGUACCAGUGGAGGAAGCGCCGGCUAACUCCGUGCCAGCAGCCGCGGUAACACGGGGGGCGCAAGCGUUAUUCGGAAUUAUUGGGCGUAAAGGGCGCGUAGGCGGUUCUGUCGGUCAGAUGUGAAAGCCCGGGGCUCAACCCUGGAAGUGCAUUUGAAACAGCAGAACUUGAGUACGGGAGAGGAAAGCGGAAUUCCUGGUGUAGAGGUGAAAUUCGUAGAUAUCAGGAGGAACACCGAUGGCGAAGGCAGCUUUCUGGACCGAUACUGACGCUGAGGCGCGAAGGCGUGGGUAGCGAACAGGAUUAGAUACCCUGGUAGUCCACGCAGUAAACGAUGUUCACUAGGUGUAGCGGAUAUUAAAAUCUGCUGUGCCACAGCUAACGCAUUAAGUGAACCGCCUGGGAAGUACGGUCGCAAGACUA
This 553-nucleotide ribosomal RNA is filed under the name uncultured bacterium. RNAcentral describes it as "bacterial SSU rRNA". It matches the Rfam family "Bacterial small subunit ribosomal RNA", at positions 353 to 896 of the family's 1533-position model. The record is from RNAcentral.